GCCCAUAUCACAUUGAAACAUGUGUUCUCAUAUAAUCAACGAAGUUAAGCAGCUUCGAGCCGAGUCAGUACCUAGAUGGGUGACCACUUGGGAAUACCAGGCGAUGUA
Molecule: non-coding RNA, 108 nt
Organism: Acanthosepion pharaonis
Lineage: Eukaryota; Metazoa; Mollusca; Cephalopoda; Sepiida; Sepiidae
Source: the annotation of a GenBank genome assembly